AAGAGGACUGGUUAGCUCUUUUGGGCGAAGCUGAGAAUUUAAGCCCCAGUAAACGGCGGUGGUAACUAUAACCAUCCUAAGGUAGCGAAAUUCCUUGUCGGGUAAGUUCCGACCUGCACGAAUGGAGUAACGAUUUCCCUACUGUCUCCACCAUGAACUCGGUGAAAUUGCAUUACGAGUAAAGAUGCUCGUUACGCGCAGCAGGACGGAAAGACCCCGGGACCUUUACUAUAGUUUGGUAUUGGUGAUUGGGACGGUUUGUGUAGGAUAGGUGGGAGACGUUGAUGCGGCCACGCUAGUGGUGGUGGAGUCGUUGGUGAAAUACCACUCUGAUUGUUCUGGUUAUCUCACUGUGGACCGUGAUCCGGUUCAAGGACAGUGCCUGAUGGGUAGUUUGACUGGGGCGGUCGCCUCCUAAAGGGUAACGGAGGCGCCCAAAGGUUCCCUCAGCCUGGUUGGCAAUCAGGUGUUUAGAGUGUAAGUGCACAAGGGAGCUUGACUGCGAGACUUACAAGUCGAGCAGGGACGAAAGUCGGGACUAGUGAUCCGGCACCUACUUGUGGAUGUGGUGUCGCUCAACGGAUAAAAGGUACCCCGGGGAUAACAGGCUGAUCUUGCCCAAGAGCUCAUAUCGACGGCAUGGUUUGGCACCUCGAUGUCGGCUCGUCGCAUCCUGGGGCUGGAGUUGGUCCCAAGGGUUAGGCUGUUCGCCUAUUAAAGCGGUACGCGAGCUGGGUUUAGAACGUCGUGAGACAGUUCGGUCCCUAUCUGCCGUGGACGUUUGAGAUUUGAGAGGGGCUGCUCCUAGUACGAGAGGACCGGAGUGGACGAACCUCUGGUGUUCCGGUUGUCACGCCAGUGGCAUUGCCGGGUAGCUAUGUUCGGAAGAGAUAACCGCUGAAAGCAUCUAAGCGGGAAGCCUGCUUCAAGAUGAGAUAUCCGUACACUUUUGUGUGGGAGGCCCCCAGGAGAUGACUGGGUUGAUAGGCCAGGUGUGGAAGCGGGGUAACUCGUGGAGCUGACUGGUAC
This 1029-nucleotide ribosomal RNA is filed under the name Clitarchus hookeri (smooth stick-insect). Its description in RNAcentral is "bacterial LSU rRNA". It matches the Rfam family "Bacterial large subunit ribosomal RNA", at positions 1879 to 2901 of the family's 2925-position model. Lineage: Eukaryota; Metazoa; Arthropoda; Insecta; Phasmatodea; Phasmatidae. The record is from RNAcentral.